AUUGGGUCAGUGGAAAAGUAAUACAAAAUGAGAAGUAGAUCAGCACUCAGAUUUAAACUUACAGAAACAGUAAACAAUGAAAAAAAGAGAAAAAUACAAGCUAUGGACCAGAGGCAGCCGGAUGGAGGCAAACAGCACUUGUGGAAGGCAAUGAUCAGGAAAACCAGAGCAUGAGAGUGCUCUGGCCAGUGUAACAUGGAUUUACAGAUGCAUAUCUUAUUGAGGUAGAGGGACAUCCUUGUGUGCUGCAUUUCUUACUCCAUAUUCAGUAUAGUAAAGGAUAUCAUAAUUCAAAAGCGUCAGCUUUUGAGUUUUACCAAAACCCCAGUUAUCAGAUAUCAAAUAAAAAACGCAGGUGGGAUUACUUAUGCAUGACAGUGGCUGAUAGCUCUGUGGCCCACUUCUAUAGAGAGAAAAAUUCAGUUAAAUUGAAAUGUGCUCUGUAGAGAAAAAUGCCUUCCAUUUUCAUCCUUGAAUCAAUCCACUUACACUGAGAGAACUGUGAGAACAAAAGACGUGAAGAAACAAUCCCUAGGUGAAUUACGGGAACUGAAGUUGAUGCUCUCUUUUUGGUCCUUCUCACAGAUGCCAGCUUCCUCUGCACAGUGAACAGCAACACUCAGGAAGCAGUAAACAGUCCUGGCUGCCUGACAGUAACCUGAGGCUCCAUCCUGCAGAACAGAAAAUGAAAGGCAAGGACAAACUCAAAGGGAGUGCAAGGCAUACACCAGGGAACAGGACCGUGUUUGCUGGGUGGCAGCUGCAUACAACUUGGACCAGUAAUGGCUCAGGCUCCUGUCUGGUGGCCAAGAGGGAGGAGGAGACCUGGCAAGUGCUCUCUGUACACCGUCACUGGCUUGGGAUCACUGCUCCACUGGUGUCCCAGAAUUCAGACUUCUGGCAUCUGCACAAACACCUCAUCUCCUGCGCCCGCCACGAAGGCAGCUCUGUGAGGAAGGUUAUCGUGCUUUCUGUCCUUAUCAUAGGUACAUGCAGUUCGGUGUAUCUGGUGUCACAGUAUUGGAAGCUUUUCCUCUCAGCUGCACGUGGUCUUAAAAAAUGCACAGGGGGAUUCUGCCAGGGAACUGGUGUCUUUUUCCACAUGAGCAGUGAUUUUACUGCGUCAUCAAAAGUAGUAGUUUCUCCUUAUCUCACUCCAGGUUAUGCAGGGGGUUGUAAGAAGUCUCACUAG
RNAcentral lists this long non-coding RNA (1192 nucleotides) under Numida meleagris (helmeted guineafowl). RNAcentral describes it as "lncRNA (ENSNMEG00000007836.1)". The record is from RNAcentral. Lineage: Eukaryota; Metazoa; Chordata; Aves; Galliformes; Numididae.